RNAcentral lists this transfer RNA (75 nucleotides) under Winogradskya consettensis. Its description in RNAcentral is "Actinoplanes consettensis tRNA-Ile". It matches the Rfam family "tRNA". From Rfam's summary of the family: Transfer RNA (tRNA) molecules are approximately 80 nucleotides in length. Their secondary structure includes four short double-helical elements and three loops (D, anti-codon, and T loops). Further hydrogen bonds mediate the characteristic L-shaped molecular structure. tRNAs have two regions of fundamental functional importance: the anti-codon, which is responsible for specific mRNA codon recognition, and the 3' end, to which the tRNAs corresponding amino acid is attached (by aminoacyl-tRNA synthetases). tRNAs cope with the degeneracy of the genetic code in two manners: having more than one tRNA (with a specific anti-codon) for a particular amino acid; and 'wobble' base-pairing, i.e. permitting non-standard base-pairing at the 3rd anti-codon position. The record is from RNAcentral. Lineage: Bacteria; Bacillati; Actinomycetota; Actinomycetes; Micromonosporales; Micromonosporaceae.
GUCGCUGUAGCUCAGAUGGUUGGAGUGCCGCUCUGAUAAGGCGGAGGUCGCUGGUUCGAAUCCAGCCGGCGAUAC